Molecule: long non-coding RNA, 959 nt
Organism: Haliotis rubra (blacklip abalone)
Lineage: Eukaryota; Metazoa; Mollusca; Gastropoda; Lepetellida; Haliotidae
Exons: 6
Source: RefSeq, a predicted model, not a curated record
UUUGUAUCAUAAACAAUAGCCGACAUAUAUGAGCUUAUCAACCCUACAUUUGUAACACAGAUAUAGCAACUACACACCUUGAAAACACGUAAAAGCUGUGAUAAGAUUAUGAAGUGUAUAAAGGAGUUUCACAAAGGACCUAGUUCUAGUACCAACAGCUUGGCACCAUGGCGAGAAUAGCAAUUGCACUUGUGUUAAUGAUGUCAUCAAUGGCAAGUUCUUUAUCGACAGAAAACAUAUUGGUGAAGACGAACAAGGUCAUGCAAGAAAUUGAUGAUAUGUUUGUCGGGUUCACGUUGGACACGUACUUACUUCGGGUUGGAUGGGGAAAAUUCAACUUCAGCUCCCCGAAAGCCUUGAACCUGAUGAAAGAAAUGGCUCCCUGUUAUAUUCGAGUUGGGGGAUCACUAGCAGAGAGCCUAGUGUUUGACCCUCAUGCCGGUCCAGUAACGCACGUGCCUCCCCUUGGACAACCAUUUACACUUACACCUACGCGGUGGAAAGAGCUCAACGAAUUUAUACAGAAUGCUGGACUGAAGUUGAUAUUUGCCUUCAAUGCCCUUCUACGGAACAAUAACCUGUAGGAUCCUACGAAUGCCGAGCUGCUGAUGACCUACUCGUCUCAGAAGCAUUACGACAUCGCCGGCUGGGAGCUUGGAAAUGAACCGGACCUGUAUGUACGGAAUGGACGGAUAAAUGUCACGGGGGCAAUGAUGGGCGCUGAUUUCACGGAACUCCGACAGAUUCUGGACAAAUCCCCUUAUAAAUCCUUAUUGGUCUCCUUAUUGGUCCAGACAUGACCCCCCUUGGCGGAUACCGGGACCCAAUGAUGCGAGAGUUCCUCAGCCAUGGUGGAGCUUCAGCUGUUGAUGUCCUCACAAUUCAUCACUACUAUUUCAACGGCCAUACUGCCCAUGAGGGGACUUCCUGUCCCUGUGGUGGCUCAAUAAGCUGGCUUC